RNAcentral lists this ribosomal RNA (253 nucleotides) under uncultured bacterium. RNAcentral describes it as "partial 16S ribosomal RNA". It matches the Rfam family "Bacterial small subunit ribosomal RNA", at positions 524 to 776 of the family's 1533-position model. The record is from RNAcentral.
CACGUAGGGCGCGAGCGUUGUCCGGAAUUAUUGGGCGUAAAGAGCUCGUAGGCGGCCUGUUGCGUCCGCUGUGAAAGCCCGGGGCUUAACCCCGGGUCGGCAGUGGAUACGGGCAGGCUAGAGGUAGGUAGGGGAGAAUGGAAUUCCCGGUGUAGCGGUGAAAUGCGCAGAUAUCGGGAGGAACACCGGUGGCGAAGGCGGUUCUCUGGGCCUUACCUGACGCUGAUGCACGAAAGCUAGGGGAGCAAACAGG